This 703-nucleotide ribosomal RNA is filed under the name Klebsiella pneumoniae. RNAcentral describes it as "bacterial LSU rRNA". It matches the Rfam family "Bacterial large subunit ribosomal RNA", at positions 2240 to 2925 of the family's 2925-position model. RNAcentral also lists the same sequence under 2 other names. The record is from RNAcentral. Lineage: Bacteria; Pseudomonadati; Pseudomonadota; Gammaproteobacteria; Enterobacterales; Enterobacteriaceae.
CGGGGUUGCGGACAGUGUCUGGUGGGUAGUUUGACUGGGGCGGUCUCCUCCCAAAGCGUAACGGAGGAGCACGAAGGUUAGCUAAUCCUGGUCGGACAUCAGGAGGUUAGUGCAAUGGCAUAAGCUAGCUUGACUGCGAGCGUGACGGCGCGAGCAGGUGCGAAAGCAGGUCAUAGUGAUCCGGUGGUUCUGAAUGGAAGGGCCAUCGCUCAACGGAUAAAAGGUACUCCGGGGAUAACAGGCUGAUACCGCCCAAGAGUUCAUAUCGACGGCGGUGUUUGGCACCUCGAUGUCGGCUCAUCACAUCCUGGGGCUGAAGUAGGUCCCAAGGGUAUGGCUGUUCGCCAUUUAAAGUGGUACGCGAGCUGGGUUUAGAACGUCGUGAGACAGUUCGGUCCCUAUCUGCCGUGGGCGCUGGAGAAUUGAGGGGGGCUGCUCCUAGUACGAGAGGACCGGAGUGGACGCAUCACUGGUGUUCGGGUUGUCAUGCCAAUGGCACUGCCCGGUAGCUAAAUGCGGAAGAGAUAAGUGCUGAAAGCAUCUAAGCACGAAACUUGCCCCGAGAUGAGUUCUCCCUGAGACUUUAAGUCUCCUGAAGGAACGUUAAAGACGAUGACGUUGAUAGGCCGGGUGUGUAAGCGCAGCGAUGCGUUGAGCUAACCGGUACUAAUGAACCGUGAGGCUUAACCUUACAACGCCGAAG